GAUGAACGCUGGCGGCGUGCCUAAUACAUGCAAGUCGAGCGAACAGACGAGGAGCUUGCUCCUCUGACGUUAGCGGCGGACGGGUGAGUAACACGUGGAUAACCUACCUAUAAGACUGGGAUAACUUCGGGAAACCGGAGCUAAUACCGGAUAAUAUAUUGAACCGCAUGGUUCAAUAGUGAAAGACGGUUUUGCUGUCACUUAUAGAUGGAUCCGCGCCGCAUUAGCUAGUUGGUAAGGUAACGGCUUACCAAGGCAACGAUGCGUAGCCGACCUGAGAGGGGGAUCGGCCACACUGGAACUGAGACACGGUCCAGACUCCUACGGGAGGCAGCAGUAGGAAAUCUUCCGCAAGGGGCGAAAGCCUGACGGGGCAACGCCGCGUGAGUGAUGAAGGUCUUCGGAUCGUAAAACUCUGUUAUUAGGGAAGAACAAAUGUGUAAGUAACUAGGCACGUCUUGACGGUACCGAAUCAGAAAGCCACGGCUAACUACGU
RNAcentral lists this ribosomal RNA (496 nucleotides) under uncultured bacterium. RNAcentral describes it as "partial 16S ribosomal RNA". It matches the Rfam family "Bacterial small subunit ribosomal RNA", at positions 28 to 506 of the family's 1533-position model. The record is from RNAcentral.